This 214-nucleotide non-coding RNA is filed under the name Clostridium sp. RNAcentral's name for it is "T-box sequence". It matches the Rfam family "T-box leader". From Rfam's summary of the family: Uncharged tRNA acts as the effector for transcription antitermination of genes in the T-box leader family. T-boxes are found upstream of many aminoacyl-tRNA synthetase genes and some amino acid biosynthetic genes usually in Gram-positive bacteria. Lineage: Bacteria; Bacillati; Bacillota; Clostridia; Eubacteriales; Clostridiaceae. The record is from RNAcentral.
GAAAAUCCGAUGACAAAGCAAAGUAUGUAAUAGAAUAACAUAUAAUAGAGAGACCGAAAGCUGGAAAAGGUCAUAUGCUAUUACAGAAAAUUCACUUUUGAGGAGUCUUCUUGAAAUUAUAGUAGAGAAGAACGCAUGACUGCGUUAAAACAAAAUGAGGUCGAAAGAUAAACUUAGGUGGUACCGAGGAAAUAUAAAAAGUUUCUCCCUAUAU